RNAcentral lists this ribosomal RNA (355 nucleotides) under uncultured bacterium. RNAcentral describes it as "bacterial SSU rRNA". It matches the Rfam family "Bacterial small subunit ribosomal RNA", at positions 29 to 412 of the family's 1533-position model. The record is from RNAcentral.
AAUGAACGCUGGCGGCAUGCCUAACACAUGCAAGUCGAACGAGACCUUCGGGUCUAGUGGCGCACGGGUGCGUAACGCGUGGGAAUCUGCCCUUGGGUUCGGAAUAACAGUUAGAAAUGACUGCUAAUACCGAAUGAUGUCGUAAGACCAAAGAUUUAUCGCCCAGGGAUGAGCCCGCGUAGGAUUAGCUAGUUGGUGUGGUAAAAGCGCACCAAGGCGACGAUCCUUAGCGGUCUGAGAGGAUGAUCAGCCACACUGGGACUGAGACACGGCCCAGACUCCUACGGGAGGCAGCAGUGGGGAAUAUUGGACAAUGGGCGAAAGCCUGAUCCAGCAAUGCCGCGUGAGUGAUGAA